Non-coding RNA from Paramuricea clavata, 236 nucleotides. Lineage: Eukaryota; Metazoa; Cnidaria; Anthozoa; Malacalcyonacea; Plexauridae. The record is from the annotation of a GenBank genome assembly.
CUCAUUAUCUAUAUGUUCAGUAGUCAACUUUUAUUCAUAAAUACGCGGUCCGUCACGUGUGUAUUGUAUUUUUGCCGAAUCCACCAAUAGCAAUUUCCAAUUUACCAUAUUUUUCGAGUCACGGAUAGGUAACUUUCCUGAAACAUUGCUAUUGGUUAGUUGGGCAAAAAUACAAUACGCACGUGACGGCGAAGGACCGGAUUUAAGAAUAAACGUUGACGAACACAGAUAAUGAG